AACGUAGGAGGCAAGCGUUAUCCGGAGUUACUGGGCGUAAAGCGUGCGUAGGUGGUUUUCUAAGUUCGGUGUGAAAGCGCCCGGCUCAACCGGGCGAGGACAUUGAAGACUGGGGAACUAGAGGGUGGUAGAGGGGCGUAGAAUUCCGGGUGUAGCGGUGAAAUGUGUAGAGAUCCGGAGGAAUACCAGUGGUGCAGACGGCGCCCUGGGCCAACCCUGACACUGAGGCACGAAAGCGUGGGGAGCAAACAGG
This 253-nucleotide ribosomal RNA is filed under the name uncultured bacterium. RNAcentral describes it as "partial 16S ribosomal RNA". It matches the Rfam family "Bacterial small subunit ribosomal RNA", at positions 524 to 776 of the family's 1533-position model. The record is from RNAcentral.